ACCGACUCAACUUUAAUGAUAGCAAUUUUCAAAGUAUCUUUUAAUUUUUUGCUACCCAUUUCUAAAGGAGUUUCAUCUUCUCUUUUCUCUCAAUCUGGCUGCCUUGGCCGAAGUUUCUCCAGUGCAUGGCAAACGUAAUCUGGAACUCCUCCCAAUAGCAAACGAAAUUGCUAUAUCGGAGUGAAUGACCGUCUUAGAUGCUAAGAUCUCGCCCCCACAUCUCGUACAAUCAAACCCGAAGCAUAUUUGAAGGAUUGCUGGUCAAAGGCUGCAUCAAAAUAGAUUGUUACCCUUGUUCUUCGAUUAACAUGUUGAAGGCCUUUGCCAGCCUGAAAGAUUAGCCAAAGCCCGCAAUAGAAAAGUCAACAUUGUUCAUUAAUCCUCGACUAAAAGACCUAGGUAAGCUAUUCCCACAUACUGUGAAUAUCGUUGUUAAGAACCUAGGAAAGAUAUAAGUAAAUCCAAACAUCCAUUAUAGGAUACUGUCGAAAAAUAUGGUUACUAUCUUCCUUAUAUUGACGACACCGAGGGCAUUGAGCAUCCAUCGCCACUUUCUUAUGCUUAAGGUUGACAAGAGUAGGAAUAAAAUUCCAGGAGAUUCUCCAUACUGCUAUUGUAACUUUUGAGGGAUGUAUAAAUUCCAAAGUUUCCUGUAGAAAUUUUUUGUUUCGGCUUGUAUAAUAUAAUUACUAGGACCAAGUUAGUCUCCUGUAAUAGUUUAUAGGCACUUCUGAGAGUUCGCCUCUCCACACUUGAAAAUUGUCAUAUGUUAUCUCCGCCAGAGGAAUCUGCAUGAUUUUUUUUGCAAUAUCUGUAUGAAAGGUAUUCAUAAUAACAUCUGUUUUCCAGGUCUUGUCAAUAGCCUCAUUUAAAUCCGAUACUAACUUGAUGUUUUCAUUGUUGUCUUGGUUCUGUAAUCUGUCUGCCUCUUCUUCCGAAAUUCAUAAAUCACCCCAAACGAAAAUUUGAUCUCCCGUUCCAACCCUCCAGCAUAGACCUUUUUCCAGAAGUCCUCUUGUUGCCCAUACAUUUUUCCAGAGGUAGUCUAUGACGAAGGUGCGCUCAAUGAUAUGACACGUGGAGGUGUUGCAGAAGUAGGUAUAACAAGCCGCAGAGGGACCAUGAACCGCUUAAAUUGUCUAGUGAAAUUCUAUCUGACGCCUGCAGAUUUGUUGCAAGGCUUAUUUCCUUUUAUUCAAUAUUUGUAAGACAAUUCUGCUAUCAUAUCAUCAGAUACAGUGAGCAAGUAUUGAGAAUGAAUGCAUUAGAAAAAGAAGAAAUCAACCAAGGAUCUUAAUAACAAA
Long non-coding RNA from Gossypium arboreum, 1304 nucleotides. RefSeq lists it as uncharacterized. NCBI's taxonomy places the organism in Eukaryota, Viridiplantae, Streptophyta, Magnoliopsida, Malvales, Malvaceae. The transcript is spliced from 4 exons. The record is from RefSeq and is a predicted model, not a curated record.